AUGCUGCCUCGGUCGGGGGAACGAGCUGUAGCUGACACCUCCGUCGAGGUGAGCUGUGGCGUGCAGGUGGUUGGGCGCAGGCAGGGGCAUAGUCGUGAGGAUGAGCCAGAGGAGGACCCAGAGGAAGACGUGGAGGAUGGCGCCGAGGACGCUGACGAGGACGGCGAUGUCGAGGCUCCCCCGGUAGACGAGCGAGAAGUCGUAGAUGAGCGGGGCCUCGCAGACGACGACCGCCAGGAGGACGCUCAGCGCGGCGCAGUGCGUGAAGUAGCCCCACCCGCGGCUCGAGUCGCUCUCCCGGAUGCUGAUCACCUGCCGCGCCUUCUCCCGGUUCAGGAACGCGUUGAACCUACACCCACAAACAUAAACCUUGAAGUUGUUUUUAAGCACAAUCAAGUAGAGGAUGAAGGGGUGGCAGCCAAAGAGGCUUGAUGGGUCAGCUUCGCCAGUCAUGGAACCGGCGCAUCGCUUGGAAACAAAUCGCUGCUAGUUCGCCUUCAAAUUUGGCGAUGCAACCUAACCCCCACCGAAGUUAAUUGAGUUGCAUCCAGCUUGCAAGAAGCAAAGGAUGAGGAUAACUGAAGGGGUGACAGCCGAGGAGGCUUGAUGGGUCAGCUUCGCCAGUCAUAAAACCCACGUGCCGCGAGCUUGGAGACAAAAUCGCUGCUAGUUCGCCUUCAAAUCUGGCGAUGCAACCCAACCACACACCGAAGUUAAUUGAUUUGUAUCCACCAAUCGGCUGUAUUCUGAAUGUUUUUACAUAUCCUAAGGACUUAUUUCUUACAUUUCAGGAAUUUACCAGUGCGCUGACAACAGAAAUCGUGUUUCUAUGCUUGAUUCUUGUCGAUCAGCUAAAAAUUUAAGAUCCAUCCGAAAAACAACUUUCUCUGUUCAAUAUUGUGCGAAAUAUCACACUUCGAAAAAUUCGGCUUAUGACGUCAUCCACCGCGGUAGUGACACCCUUGGUUUCUUCCACCUCGGUUUCAUUUGUCAGGGAGACACACAUUUUUGCUGGUUCCUCGACGUAAACUCGGAUUGAAGCAAGAUGGAAGAAACCAAGGGUGUCACCACUGCGGUGGAUGACGUCAUAAACCGAAUUUUUCAAAGCGCGAUAUUUCGGUUAACGUCGAACGUAGAAAGUUGCUGUUUGGAUAGAUAGAUCUUAAUAUUUUGAGUUGAUCGACAAGAAUCAAGCAUCAAAACACGAUUCUGAGUCCAGCGCAACUGACGAAUUUC
Molecule: long non-coding RNA, 1236 nt
Filed under: Bemisia tabaci
Lineage: Eukaryota; Metazoa; Arthropoda; Insecta; Hemiptera; Aleyrodidae
Description: lncRNA ENSSSA3NGG003669
Source: RNAcentral